ACAAUGAAGAGUUUGAUCCUGGCUCAGGAUGAACGCUAGCUACAGGCUUAACACAUGCAAGUCGAGGGGCAUCAGGAAGAAAGCUUGCUUUCUUUGCUGGCGACCGGCGCACGGGUGAGUAACACGUAUCCAACCUGCCCUUUACUCGGGGAUAGCCUUUCGAAAGAAAGAUUAAUACCCGAUGGCAUAAUGAUUCCGCAUGGUUUCAUUAUUAAAGGAUUCCGGUAAAGGAUGGGGAUGCGUUCCAUUAGGUUGUUGGUGAGGUAACGGCCCACCAAGCCUUCGAUGGAUAGGGGUUCUGAGAGGAAGGUCCCCCACAUUGGAACUGAGACACGGUCCAAACUCCUACGGGAGGCAGCAGUGAGGAAUAUUGGUCAAUGGGCGAUAGCCUGAACCAGCCAAGUAGCGUGAAGGAUGAAGGCUCUAUGGGUCGUAAACUUCUUUUAUAUAAGAAUAAAGUGCAGUAUGUAUACUGUUUUGUAUGUAUUAUAUGAAUAAGGAUCGGCUAACUCCGUGCCAGCAGCCGCGGUAAUACGGAGGAUCCGAGCGUUAUCCGGAUUUAUUGGGUUUAAAGGGAGCGUAGGUGGACUGGUAAGUCAGUUGUGAAAGUUUGCGGCUCAACCGUAAAAUUGCAGUUGAUACUGUCAGUCUUGAGUACAGUAGAGGUGGGCGGAAUUCGUGGUGUAGCGGUGAAAUGCUUAGAUAUCACGAAGAACUCCGAUUGCGAAGGCAGCUCACUGGACUGCAACUGACACUGAUGCUCGAAAGUGUGGGUAUCAAACAGGAUUAGAUACCCUGGUAGUCCACACAGUAAACGAUGAAUACUCGCUGUUUGCGAUAUACAGUAAGCGGCCAAGCGAAAGCAUUAAGUAUUCCACCUGGGGAGUACGCCGGCAACGGUGAAACUCAAAGGAAUUGACGGGGGCCCGCACAAGCGGAGGAACAUGUGGUUUAAUUCGAUGAUACGCGAGGAACCUUACCCGGGCUUAAAUUGCAGUGGAAUGAUGUGGAAACAUGUCAGUGAGCAAUCACCGCUGUGAAGGUGCUGCAUGGUUGUCGUCAGCUCGUGCCGUGAGGUGUCGGCUUAAGUGCCAUAACGAGCGCAACCCUUAUCUUCAGUUACUAACAGGUCAUGCUGAGGACUCUGGAGAGACUGCCGUCGUAAGAUGUGAGGAAGGUGGGGAUGACGUCAAAUCAGCACGGCCCUUACGUCCGGGGCUACACACGUGUUACAAUGGGGGGUACAGAAGGCAGCUAGCGGGUGACCGUAUGCUAAUCCCAAAAGCCUCUCUCAGUUCGGAUCGAAGUCUGCAACCCGACUUCGUGAAGCUGGAUUCGCUAGUAAUCGCGCAUCAGCCACGGCGCGGUGAAUACGUUCCCGGGCCUUGUACACACCGCCCGUCAAGCCAUGGGAGCCGGGGGUACCUGAAGUACGUAACCGCAAGGAUCGUCCUAGGGUAAAACUGGUGACUGGGGCUAAGUCGUAACAAGGUAGCCGUACCGGAAGGUGCGGCUGGAACACCUCCUUU
Molecule: ribosomal RNA, 1529 nt
Filed under: Bacteroides fragilis YCH46
Lineage: Bacteria; Pseudomonadati; Bacteroidota; Bacteroidia; Bacteroidales; Bacteroidaceae
Description: 16S ribosomal RNA
Rfam family: Bacterial small subunit ribosomal RNA
Source: RNAcentral